UACGUAGGUGGCGAGCGUUGUCCGGAUUUACUGGGCGUAAAGGGAGCGUAGGCGGGCUUUUAAGUGAGAUGUGAAAUACUCGGGCUCAACUUGAGUGCUGCAUUUCAAACUGGAAGUCUAGAGUGCAGGAGAGGAGAAUGGAAUUCCUAGUGUAGCGGUGAAAUGCGUAGAGAUUAGGAAGAACACCAGUGGCGAAGGCGAUUCUCUGGACUGUAACUGACACUGAGGCUCGAAAGCGUGGGGAGCAAACAGG
RNAcentral lists this ribosomal RNA (253 nucleotides) under uncultured bacterium. RNAcentral describes it as "partial 16S ribosomal RNA". It matches the Rfam family "Bacterial small subunit ribosomal RNA", at positions 524 to 776 of the family's 1533-position model. The record is from RNAcentral.